GAUGAACGCUGGCGGCGUGCUUAACACAUGCAAGUCGAACGGAAAGGCUCCUGCUUGCAGGGGUACUCGAGUGGCGAACGGGUGAGUAACACGUGGGUGAUCUGCCCUGCACCUCGGGAUAAGCCUGGGAAACUGGGUCUAAUACCGGAUAGGACCACAUUUUGGAUGGUGUGGUGGAAAGUUUUUCGGUGUGGGGUGAGCUCGCGGCCUAUCAGCUUGUUGGUGGGGUAAUGGCCUACCAAGGCGUCGACGGGUAGCCGGCCUGAGAGGGUGUACGGCCACAUUGGGACUGAGAUACGGCCCAGACUCCUACGGGAGGCAGCAGUGGGGAAUAUUGCACAAUGGGCGCAAGCCUGAUGCAGCGACGCCGCGUGGGGGAUGACGGCCUUCGGGUUGUAAACUCCUUUCGCUAGGGACGAAGCGCAAGUGACGGUACCUGGAGAAGAAGCACCGGCUAACUACGUG
Molecule: ribosomal RNA, 465 nt
Filed under: uncultured bacterium
Lineage: Bacteria
Description: partial 16S ribosomal RNA
Rfam family: Bacterial small subunit ribosomal RNA
Source: RNAcentral